Molecule: ribosomal RNA, 253 nt
Filed under: uncultured bacterium
Lineage: Bacteria
Description: partial 16S ribosomal RNA
Rfam family: Bacterial small subunit ribosomal RNA
Source: RNAcentral
UACGGAUGGUGCGAGCGUUAAUCGGAAUUACUGGGCGUAAAGCGCGCGUAGGUGGCUUAGAAAGUCUGAUGUGAAAUCCCCGGGCUCAACCUGGGAACUGCAUUGGAAACUGCUAGGCUAGAGUAUACUAGAGGGGAGUGGAAUUCUGGGUGUAGCAGUGAAAUGCGUAGAUAUCCGGAGGAACACCGAUGGCGAAGGCAGCUCCCUGGGGUAAUACUGACACUGAGGUGCGAAAGCGUGGGUAGCGAACAGG